Molecule: long non-coding RNA, 418 nt
Organism: Octopus sinensis (East Asian common octopus)
Lineage: Eukaryota; Metazoa; Mollusca; Cephalopoda; Octopoda; Octopodidae
Exons: 2
Source: RefSeq, a predicted model, not a curated record
UGAGCCAAAAUUUGAAAUCCUCAUUUAAUAUAGGUUCUAUGGUCAAUCCUGCAGCGGAAAUAGCCGAAACGUAAUCUCUACCAUUUCCCAAGUGGUAAUGAACAACACAAGUAGAAAAAGAAGAUUAAAAAUUAAAAUUAGGCAACUGAUCUCAUUGCAGCUUCAUAGUCAUGUGUGUUUAUGGCAUCUCCCACCACUUUCGUAUUUAAUUGAAAAAAAUGUAUAUUUUUGUGAUGAAGUGUGUAAUGAAAUGAGCAAGACUUUUUUACAGUUGAGGAAAUUAUUGAUGAUAUUUAUUCUUCAGAUGAGCAAGAAGUUUACCCUUACACAAACGCAGACAAUGAGAGUGAUUUGGACAAUCAAACUGAUGAAAGUAGUGAUUCAGGUGAACAAAUACAAUAGUGGAGAGAUAGGCCUA